AACGAACGCUGGCGGCAUGCCUAACACAUGCAAGUCGAACGAGACCUUCGGGUCUAGUGGCGCACGGGUGCGUAACGCGUGGGAACCUGCCCUUAGGUUCGGAAUAACUCCCCGAAAGGGGUGCUAAUACCGGAUAAUGUCUUCGGACCAAAGAUUUAUCGCCUUUGGAUGGGCCCGCGUUGGAUUAGCUAGUUAGUAGGGUAAAAGCCUACCAAGGCGACGAUCCAUAGCUGGUCUGAGAGGAUGAUCAGCCACACUGGGACUGAGACACGGCCCAGACUCCUACGGGAGGCAGCAGUGGGGAAUAUUGGACAAUGGGCGAAAGCCUGAUCCAGCAAUGCCGCGUGAGUGAUGAAGGCCUUAGGGUUGUAAAGCUCUUUUACCCGGGAUGAUAAUGACAGUACCGGGAGAAUAAGCUCCGGCUAACUCCGU
Molecule: ribosomal RNA, 432 nt
Filed under: uncultured bacterium
Lineage: Bacteria
Description: partial 16S ribosomal RNA
Rfam family: Bacterial small subunit ribosomal RNA
Source: RNAcentral